AGCAGCCGCGGUAAUUCCAGCUCCAAUAGCGUAUAUUAAAGUUGUUGCAGUUAAAAAGCUCGUAGUUGAAUUUCGGGAUUGGCGCAUCGGUCGUGCCUUACGGGGUAUGAACUGGUGCAGUCAAUUUCUCACCUUCUGGAGAACCGCGAUGUCCUUAAUUGGGUGCCGCGGGGAACCAGGACCUUUACUUUGAAAAAAAUUAGAGUGUUUAAAGCAGGCAUUUUUGCUUGAAUACAUUAGCAUGGAAUAAUAAAAUAGGACGGCAUGGUUCUAUUUUGUUGGUUUCUAGGACCACCGUAAUGAUUAAUAGGGAUAGUUGGGGGCAUUAGUAUUCAAUUGUCAGAGGUGAAAUUCUUGGAUUUAUUGAAGACUAACUACUGCGAAAGCAUUUGCCAAGGAUGUUUUCAUUAAUCAAGAACGAAAGUUAGGGGAUCGAAGACGAUCAGAUACCGUCGUAGUCUUAACCAUAAACUAUGCCGACUAGGAAUCAGACGAUGUUAAUUUUUUAAUGACUCGUUUG
Molecule: small RNA, 520 nt
Filed under: uncultured Entrophospora
Lineage: Eukaryota; Fungi; Glomeromycota; Glomeromycetes; Entrophosporales; Entrophosporaceae
Description: SSU rRNA
Rfam family: Eukaryotic small subunit ribosomal RNA
Source: RNAcentral